Molecule: transfer RNA, 94 nt
Filed under: Halolamina pelagica
Lineage: Archaea; Methanobacteriati; Methanobacteriota; Halobacteria; Halobacteriales; Haloferacaceae
Description: tRNA-Pro
Source: RNAcentral
CCUGCUGCUCGGCGAGCGGACUGCGCGCUCGCUGGGGAUGAGCGUCGAGCGCGUUCGCUUCGCGCUCUCGGGGGUCGCGGUGCUGGCAGCAGGA